Molecule: ribosomal RNA, 457 nt
Filed under: uncultured bacterium
Lineage: Bacteria
Description: partial 16S ribosomal RNA
Rfam family: Bacterial small subunit ribosomal RNA
Source: RNAcentral
UGGGGAAUAUUGCACAAUGGGCGAAAGCCUGAUGCAGCAACGCCGCGUGAGUGAUGAAGGUCUUCGGAUUGUAAAGCUCUGUCUUUUGGGACGAUAAUGACGGUACCAAAGGAGGAAGCCACGGCUAACUACGUGCCAGCAGCCGCGGUAAUACGUAGGUGGCGAGCGUUGUCCGGAUUUACUGGGGCGUAAAGGGUGCGUAGGCGGAUGUUUAAGUGAGAUGUGAAAUACCCGGGCUUAACUUGGGUGCUGCAUUUCAAACUGGAUAUCUAGAGUGCAGGAGAGGAGAAUGGAAUUCCUAGUGUAGCGGUGAAAUGCGUAGAGAUUAGGAAGAACACCAGUGGCGAAGGCGAUUCUCUGGACUGUAACUGACGCUGAGGCACGAAAGCGUGGGUAGCAAACAGGAUUAGAUACCCUGGUAGUCCACGCCGUAAACGAUGAGUACUAGGUGUAGGAG